RNAcentral lists this ribosomal RNA (301 nucleotides) under uncultured bacterium. RNAcentral describes it as "partial 16S ribosomal RNA". It matches the Rfam family "Bacterial small subunit ribosomal RNA", at positions 512 to 808 of the family's 1533-position model. The record is from RNAcentral.
CAGCCGCCGGGUAAUACGAAGGGUGCAAGCGUUACUCGGAAUUACUGGGCGUAAAGCGUGCGUAGGUGGUGGUUUAAGUCCGUUGUGAAAGCCCUGGGCUCAACCUGGGAAUUGCAGUGGAUACUGGGUCACUAGAGUGUGGUAGAGGAUAGUGGAAUUUCCGGUGUAGCAGUGAAAUGCGUAGAGAUCGGAAGGAACAUCUGUGGCGAAGGCGACUAUCUGGGCCAACACUGACACUGAGGCACGAAAGCGUGGGGAGCAAACAGGAUUAGAUACCCCAGUAGUCCCUGUCUCUUAUACA